GGCAAGAUGGCCGAGUGGUCUAAGGCGUGUGACUCAAGCGUUAAGCUUGCCUUCUUUCGAAGGUUUCUCAUGAGGGUAUCCUCGCGGGGGUUCGAAUCCCCCUCUUGUCA
RNAcentral lists this transfer RNA (110 nucleotides) under Vararia minispora EC-137. RNAcentral describes it as "tRNA-Leu". It matches the Rfam family "tRNA". Rfam says of the family: Transfer RNA (tRNA) molecules are approximately 80 nucleotides in length. Lineage: Eukaryota; Fungi; Basidiomycota; Agaricomycetes; Russulales; Lachnocladiaceae. The record is from RNAcentral.